CCUACGGGUGGCAGCAGUGGGGAAUUUUUCACAAUGGGGGAAACCCUGAUGCAGCGACGCCGCGUGAGUGAAUAAGUAUCUCGUUAUGUAAAGCUCUAUCAGUAGGGAAGAAAAUGACGGUACCUGUGUCAGAAGCCGCGGCUAACUACGUGUCAGCAGCCGCGGUAAUACGUAGGGGGCAAGCGUUAUCCGGAUUUACUGGGUGUAAAGGGAGCGUAGAAGGCAGUGCAAGUCUGGAGUGAAAGGCGGGGGCGCAACCCACGGACUGAUCUGGAGACUGUACGGCUGGAGUGAAGGAGAGGUAAGUGGAAUUCCUAGUGUAGCGGUGAAAUGCGUAGAUAUCAGGAGGAACACGAGUGGCGAAGGCGGUCUGCUGGACAGCAACUGACGGUGAGGCACGAAAGCGUGGGGAGCAAAAAGGAUUAGAUACCCUUGUAGUC
This 440-nucleotide ribosomal RNA is filed under the name uncultured bacterium. RNAcentral's name for it is "partial 16S ribosomal RNA". It matches the Rfam family "Bacterial small subunit ribosomal RNA", at positions 338 to 795 of the family's 1533-position model. The record is from RNAcentral.